UUGAGGCCACUGAAGCAGGCUCUAAACGACAUCGUUUCUUACACCGUAUAUAAUCCAUUUUAAAACUCUAAAUCAGUAGCCAUUUAUCAGUUUUAAAACAAACUUAAAAAACAAACGCCUCUGCCUCCCAAAACGCUGCUAAAAAAUCAGGCCAUUUUAAGGCCUUUCAAAUCUCACCAAAAACCCCGAUCGCGAUGGAGCAGGCAGACUCAAUAACACCAGGUAAUUUCCUCGUCUCUUGAUUAUUUCUUUUUUCUUUCCUUUUUUUCGCACACGACUAAUGAAUAAAAAAUAGAACAGAAAAGAAAAUCCAGUGAAAAAAAGAAAAAUCUGAAAUCGCCUUUCGAAUAUUCUCUUUUUUGCUUAGAUUUCUUUGGUAUAUUUUUUGAUUUCGUAUCCGUUCCCCUCCACAAAUCUCCAAUUGGCUUUUGUAUAGCCGAAUAUAAAAUUACAAAAAUUAUUUAGCUAUUUUUUUCUGCCAUUCUAAUGUAUUUUUUCUGUUAUUGCCUUGGCUGCUAGUUUGUUGCGUUUGCAGGUACAGCCAGCUGGAGGUGCACACGUGUGGAGGCGCCUGGAUGAGGGCAGCGGCUGGUAGCGCACAUGCGUGGAAGGGCUUAGCUGCGGUGGCUGAAGUUUGCUCUAGAAACCUUAGGGGUUUCUGAAAACUGCUUUGGGCUUCAAUGUAAUUGGGCUGGGGUUUUGGGUUAGGGAACUUUAGGCAGUUAUUUGUUUGUAAUCUGGACUAGGGUAAUACGGGCUUGCUAGAAUUUGUAAGUGGACUUUUGUUUAAAAAUGAACUUUAUUUUUAACUUAUUCUUUAGUUUAAUUUUUUUUGUUUGCUUUUGGUCCCGGGCUAAUUGGGCCUGUUAUAGAAACUAUGGAUUUGGUAAAAAAAUU
RNAcentral lists this long non-coding RNA (897 nucleotides) under Gossypium raimondii (Peruvian cotton). Its description in RNAcentral is "long non-coding RNA (GRAI_LNC009494)". Lineage: Eukaryota; Viridiplantae; Streptophyta; Magnoliopsida; Malvales; Malvaceae. The record is from RNAcentral.